This 497-nucleotide ribosomal RNA is filed under the name uncultured bacterium. RNAcentral's name for it is "partial 16S ribosomal RNA". It matches the Rfam family "Bacterial small subunit ribosomal RNA", at positions 28 to 507 of the family's 1533-position model. The record is from RNAcentral.
GAUGAACGCUGGCGGCGUGCCUAAUACAUGCAAGUCGAGCGAACAGAUGAGGAGCUUGCUCCCCUGACGUUAGCGGCGGACGGGUGAGUAACACGUGGAUAACCUACCUAUAAGACUGGGAUAACUUCGGGAAACCGGAGCUAAUACCGGAUAAUAUAUUGAACCGCAUGGUUCAAUAGUGAAAGACGGUUUUGCUGUCACUUAUAGAUGGAUCCGCGCCGCAUUAGCUAGUUGGUAAGGUAACGGCUUACCAAGGCAACGAUGCGUAGCCGACCUGAGAGGGUGAUCGGCCACACUGGAACUGAGACACGGUCCAGACUCCUACGGGAGGCAGCAGUAGGGAAUCUUCCGCAAUGGGCGAAAGCAUGACGGAGCAACGCCGCGUGAGUGAUGAAGGUCUUCGGAUCGUAAAACUCUGUUAUUAGGGAAGAACAAAUGUGUAAGUAACUAUGCACGUAUUGACGGUACCUAAUCAGAAAGCCACGGCUAACUACGUG